This 447-nucleotide ribosomal RNA is filed under the name uncultured bacterium. Its description in RNAcentral is "partial 16S ribosomal RNA". It matches the Rfam family "Bacterial small subunit ribosomal RNA", at positions 330 to 792 of the family's 1533-position model. The record is from RNAcentral.
CCCAGACUCCUACGGGAGGCAGCAGUGGGGGAUAUUGCACAAUGGGGGAAACCCUGAUGCAGCGACGCCGCGUGGGCGAAGAAGUAUUUCGGUAUGUAAAGCCCUAUCAGCAGGGAAGAAGAAAUGACGGUACCUGAGUAAGAAGCACCGGCUAAAUACGUGCCAGCAGCCGCGGUAAUACGUAUGGAGCAAGCGUUAUCCGGAUUUACUGGGUGUAAAGGGAGCGUAGGCGGCCUGCCAAGUCUGAUGUGAAAUACCGGGGCUCAACCCCGGGGCUGCAUUGGAAACUGGCAGGCUGGAGUGUCGGAGAGGCAGGCGGAAUUCCUAGUGUAGCGGUAAAAUGCGUAGAUAUUAGGAGGAACACCAGUGGCGAAGGCGGCCUGCUGGACGAUGACUGACGCUGAGGCUCGAAAGCGUGGGGAGCAAACAGGAUUAGAUACCCUUGUA